This is a long non-coding RNA of Dromaius novaehollandiae (emu), 1837 nucleotides long. RefSeq lists it as uncharacterized. NCBI's taxonomy places the organism in Eukaryota, Metazoa, Chordata, Aves, Casuariiformes, Dromaiidae. The record is from RefSeq and is a predicted model, not a curated record. The transcript is spliced from 11 exons.
GGGUUUAGAUGCUGCAGACACAUGAUUCAGCCUGUGGGUCACCAGGUACCUGAGACCUAAUGCCCUUACUCCUCAGGAGUGAUCCGAGCCAUGAAGUGGAAGCUCAGGAUUGACCUUGAGUUUAAACAGAUUGGAUGUAACCCACGGCCUUGAUUUAAAAUAAAGUCAACCAGAAGAGAAAACAGCCACUUGUGAGGAAAAUGAUGCUAAGCAAUACCUAAGUGCAGAGUGGACUGUAAAAAAAGACUUUGGCAAACUGAAGAAAAUGUGGAAGACAGGAAAGUGCCUGCUUAUAGAGAUGGACAAGAGUUUGGAGGGCUCGCACUGUGGAAAAUAUUUCCUUGACAUGUCUUUCAUGUACCUGAAUUCAGAAAGUCCGAAUUUAAAAAGAAGAGCCCUUUAACUCACAGAAGUCCAGAAAAGGAGCAUUAAGCCACCUCCAGACUUUGUGGGGGGACAGGUGCCAUAGCAAUUGUAAUGGGCAGCUGAUAUUGGGCUUUUUUGGUUUCACUCCUUUUCGGAAAUAUAAGGCUCAUCGGGUGCUCAUAAAAGGGUGACCCUGGGUGAAACUGAAGAAAAUGGUACUUGUUUUCAAAUUGAAAUGGAGCAGUGUGACAAAGCACCUCAAGAAACCCAUACCCCAGCACACAUAAAGGGAACCGUGGAUCUGGACAGCAUUUUCUGUCAAGCUGUGAAGGCCUGUAUGGGAUCUAUCACUGCAGGAUGAUGAGAGAACUGUGACGUGACGUGUCCUUCUUGCAGACAACCUCUGCUGUUGUGCCACUCUCAAAUAACCUCCUAUCCAUUGACUUGUUUGUAGAUGCAUUUAAAAGGAAGAUACCAAGCCAUAGGAAAAGAAAUCUUUAAUAAGAAUGUUUUUCCGAUCAUCUGUGCGGAUUCCAUAGCAAGAUCAGGACCUAACACAAGCAAGGCACUCUGACGUCUGAAAAGCCCACUGAUGAAGAUAACCAUGUGAAAAAGAUUUCUGGAAAUAUAAUCUUCAAAGAGAGAUGGCAGGAAAAGAUUGGAGCUGUUAGCAGAAGAAAAAGAUAAGAAAGAAGAGACAUAGCAGAAAAGAGGUAAGAAAGCAGGAAAACAGGUAAAAGCAGACUGGUACUGGACAACCAAUAAAAGGUUCUAGACUAAAAGCAGCAGAAAAAAAGACUGCAUGUAGGAGGGAAGAUAGCUGAAUUUUGGAUAUGAACCUUAACGGAAGUUAUGUUGCACAGUAUUUCAGAGGUGUGGGCAAAGAGCUUUCAUUUGGGACACUGAAGAACAGGAAAUUGGGAAAGGGUUUCACAAACUGAGAGAGUUUGGCUAGAAUAAUACAGUUGUUAACUGACUGAAGAUUUUAAAGUGUCAUUUUGGGGAGGAAAGGCAUAUAGGAGAAUGUUACAAUAAUUAAGACAAGUGAUAACCCUAAGAUGAUAUUUUUCUUCAUAGGCUAAGAAUGGAAGAAAGCUGUAUUCAUUGAUUUGUAAUUUUCCUUGUAAUUUUUAUACUUGAGAUAGCAUGGAUCUUCUUGUCAUCUUCCAAACCUUGACAAAUGGCUUUAGUUUUGGAAUAGCACUGCUGUAAUUGUUCUAGUGAGCUCAGAGAAAGUCUAAUUACAAACAAAAGAUCCUCCUGAGUUUUAUUCUUAUUUUGCACACUCUGUUCAGCAGCUUUUUAGAGCUAAACUCUUUGUAUGUAUAUCUAUGUUUGUGUGUAUGUAGAAUUAACUGCAAGUUAAUGCUGUGUGUGUACAUAUAUGGCUGCUCAGUGAUAGUUUUGGAAGUGCACCUGUUCUUUGCUUAAAUCAGGAAAAAAGUACAUUAAAAAUGUGUUUUGUAAAGUA